ACCUAAAACCCACAGUCCUCCAGACAGAAAGACAACAGGUACAAAGCCCUAAGGAUUAUAAAGGUAUGCUGCUUACCAUCAUCUUAGUGACCAAGGCAGCGAAGCUGUUUCUGUACCUUGGAACAGUCUUCCCUGACAAGCCAGAGAACAGUGAUAAAGCCACCAGCCUUGGGAUCAGGACUGAAAAGGCAAGAGUGAUGGAGAUUUCUCCUGCGCUAAGCCAAGAGAAGGUUUCAGCACUUCAGACAGCUCCCACCGAAGUAGCCGCGCUCCCAGCUGCUUGCAGAUGUUGAAAAGGAAAGCCUCGGUUUGUCUUGAGGUUGUCAGCAGGUGCAAGACACGUAAUAAAAUGCAAUGUGUUCCUAAUUCAUUGCAUAUCC
Molecule: long non-coding RNA, 380 nt
Filed under: Homo sapiens (human)
Lineage: Eukaryota; Metazoa; Chordata; Mammalia; Primates; Hominidae
Description: non-protein coding lnc-ATP6V0E2-2:5
Source: RNAcentral